AUCCCUGUAGUGCAAUGGAUUGCGCUUUGGACUUCUAAUCCAAAAAUCGUGGGUCCGACUCCCACCUGAGAUG
This is a non-coding RNA of Trichonephila clavata, 73 nucleotides long. NCBI's taxonomy places the organism in Eukaryota, Metazoa, Arthropoda, Arachnida, Araneae, Nephilidae. The record is from the annotation of a GenBank genome assembly.